This 482-nucleotide ribosomal RNA is filed under the name uncultured bacterium. RNAcentral describes it as "partial 16S ribosomal RNA". It matches the Rfam family "Bacterial small subunit ribosomal RNA", at positions 30 to 507 of the family's 1533-position model. The record is from RNAcentral.
AUUGAACGCUGGCGGCAUGCUCUACACAUGCAAGUCGAACGGUAACAGGCCGCAAGGUGCUGACGAGUGGCGAACGGGUGAGUAAUGCAUCGGAACGUGCCCAGUCGUGGGGGAUAACUACUCGAAAGAGUAGCUAAUACCGCAUACGAUCUAUGGAUGAAAGCGGGGGACCGUAAGGCCUCGCGCGAUUGGAGCGGCCGAUGUCAGAUUAGGUAGUUGGUGGGGUAAAGGCUCACCAAGCCAACGAUCUGUAGCUGGUCUGAGAGGACGACCAGCCACACUGGGACUGAGACACGGCCCAGACUCCUACGGGAGGCAGCAGUGGGGAAUUUUGGACAAUGGGCGCAAGCCUGAUCCAGCAAUGCCGUGUGCAGGAAGAAGGCCUUCGGGUUGUAAACUGCUUUUGUACGGAACGAAACGGCUCUGGUUAAUACCCGGGGCUAAUGACGGUACCGUAAGAAUAAGCACCGGCUAACUACGUG